GAUUGAUACAUCUCCUCUCCUUAUAUAGAGAGGUUUACUUGACCCCUAAGCAAGCGACUAAUAAACCCUAAUGGGCUAAGGCCCAAUAGGCCCUUGACUCCUCUAACAGGGUUUUUUUUUGCAUUGAAUAGGUGCAGUGUACACAGAUUACAAUUUUUUAUAUUAGUUGUACAUCAUAAUUCCUAUGUUCUCAUUUGUUCAAACGGAUGGUUUUACAUCAGAACUCACUCUAUUCCUAACAGUUUGACUAAAGAGAACGGGGAUUCCAAACCAACACUCAAAUGUUCUUCCCAGUCCUCAAUCAAUUUUUUGUUUUGCCCAUCAGUUCCUUUUGGGCUAUCUACUGUCACUCCCAGAAAGAAUUGGGCCCUGAAUCGCGGGUUGGGCCCAGAGCAGCAGGGUCUUGAAGGGGUUGGAUUUUGGAUUGGAGAAUGGAAGGGGUGGGCUAUUGUUCGACUGCACCGCUACUAUUUGCUGGCCAUGGGUUUGUUGGGCUGCUCCUAGGCUCUUGGCUCACCUGGAUCAGGUGCGCCAAUCUUCUAAUAUCGAAACCUGGGUUCAUUCCCCGGCACCAAAGCGUGCCACGUCGCGUCCUCGCCUCGACCGUCAGAUCGGGCACGCGGACGGCCCAGAUCUUGCAUUUGCUGAUCAUUUUGCAAAAGGAUCCUCAAACUUUAACGAAAUCAAUCCACGGUCCAUCCUCUCUCAGGUUUUUUUGCGGAGGCAGAGACGCGCGGCGCGGGGACCGGGUGGCCGUGCCGGAGGCCGGCGACAGAGGGCAAUGCGACGCCGCUUUCCGCGCCGCAAAUGUCAUUCCCCCUCGCCUCUCUUCGCCGGCGACCGCGUCUGGGCUCAAGUAGUCUGCGUAAGCCGCCGGCGACAUUCCCCCUCGCCUUUGCCAUUUGCGCCUCCCUUCGCUAGCGACCUCGUCCGAGCUCAAGUAGUCUGUGCACCGAGGGUAACUGCUGCACCAGGAUUGGCCACCGACACCAGUUCCAAGCGAGCACGUACCUCUUCCCAUCCACUGCAUCAAGGAAGAUGGGCCCUCCAUCUAAUCUGAAAUUCUGAACUACCAUCGCCGAUUUAGCUGUGCCCAUCCGCACAACCAGCAGGAUAUAUUAGCGAGGCAUGCAGUUCUGAGAUUGCAUCUUUAUACAAUGGCUCAAUGCUUUGUGUAACUCCAAAUUCUGAAUAGACAUUCAGUUUUCCCCCAUUAAUAAUUAGACAACAAUUGACAUCUCUGUUAGUUAUAGUAAAUAAGCAUACAUUCGGAUGGUUCUUAUACAAGGUAAAUAUAAUUCAGGAUACAAAAUAAACCCUCAUGCUGUUAUCCUUUAUCUUACAGAAAAUAAAAAGAUUCAGCAUAUCAAUAUCAUACGUCGUAAUAGCCAAUUUAUUUUACUACCUUCAAUUUUUUGUGGUGUAUUAUCAAAUCAGUACAAAUCAGAACAUCCAAUGGAUUACUUCGCACAAGUCCAUCAUGAUUUAUGACAAGGACCUAUUCAAACUAUCUCUGAACUUUCCUUAUUGCUUUCCGUAUAUGCUAGGUUCUGAAUAAGUCAGCUAAUUUCCCAUAUAUUUCUGGGGGGGGGGGGGGGGCACCGAGGUGCUAUCCUCUGUAGAGAUGUUUAAGGUUAUAGUGAUAUAGAUGGUAAUAUUUGGUAACUUUACAAAUGUCAUUUCAUGGCAGCUCCUAUCCAUAUAUCAAUCAGCAUUUUUAAAGUGUAGGGAUGAAAAAUAAAAUAAGCCUUUCUGAGGUGUACAACUGAGAAAUGAGUUGGGCAUACUUAAUCUUCCAAUGCAUGUAUAUAUGUUUUGUAUACUGCAAAUGAAACAAAAUGAAGUGUUUACAUGUUCAUCUAUCUGCUUGUACUCUAAAAUUGAAGAAUACAAGUUGUGAACUACACUUUCUUUUAUUCAGUAAUUCUGAAUUAGUUUACUUGGGGGUUAUAUUUUCUUUCAUCCAAUAAUCCUGACUCAAUUGAGUUCUUAUCUGAAAAUGGUGUACCAACAGUUCAAGAAAGUGACAGGACAAUUUACUUUUCAUAUGCCCUUCUGAAAUGAUGAAAUUUUAAAUGACCUGGUGACUGCACUCCUAAACCAUUUAUUUAUGUUGUGAAAUCCAUCUCUGUUGAUGCAUCUAUCAACAUUAUUAUUUAAUCUCUCAUAUGUUAUUUCACUAUACAUACACAUUAAAUGAACAUCUAAUAAAACUUUGUAAAAAAAAAGAACUACAUAUUCACUACUGUUACAAAUCACUUCCAUAGCUGUUGCUACUCUUCAAUGCUCGGGGCCUAUAUUUGGAGAACAUGAACUGCUACACUUUUUUUUUUUGCAGAUCCCAAAUAUCAGAAAUCAACAAAUCAACCAGACACAAGGAGAGAAAAAGGAAAAUAAGUUAAGAACUCAUUUCCUUUUUAAUACUUAUUUCAAGUACACAUACAUCUGAAUGACUUAGUGCUACCUACAUUACUUACCUGCUUUGCUUUCCUCCAAAAGGGAAAGGCUUACUGAAACUAGCACUAGCAGUGCGUCUUGCAAUCACAAGGGCGAUAGUCAAAAAUCCCCAAAUCUUGCUACUUGAUUGUAUAUCUUGUGCUGUUUACUUGAGAAAUCUAUUGAUAACUCAAUAUUCCAGCCUGACCAGGCCAAUCUACAGCUUCCAUCAGCAAAACUUGUGGAAGAAACUGAUGAUCAUAUUACACACGUUCAAGUAACAAGCUGCAAGGCUGGCCGAUGGUCAAUGGCAAACAAAACAUCCUUGCAAACCUGCAUGAUCUCAUUCGUCAUGUGCUAGAUUAGAAAAAUGCCUAGUAGGAGCUAUACCAUGUUACCUGCUUGGACCACGACAUGCGAGAGAAUGGACAGAAGGGCAAACUGUACGAGAUUAUGGAAUAUUUCUUUCUCAAUAUUUCCUAGCAACCCAAAUUUAAAUUUGUUACUAUCGACAGAUAUGUAUCCGGGCUCAUGGUAUUCAUGAUGGCCAAUCAAGGCCGAAGCGCAGCAACGCCGCGCGUUAAUUCUA
This is a long non-coding RNA of Panicum virgatum (switchgrass), 3025 nucleotides long. RefSeq lists it as uncharacterized. The record is from RefSeq and is a predicted model, not a curated record. The transcript is spliced from 3 exons. Lineage: Eukaryota; Viridiplantae; Streptophyta; Magnoliopsida; Poales; Poaceae.